GAAUGAAAGAAGCAAGAGAAUGAGCAUAGAAAUUGAAUUGGGGUUUUACGCCUGCCCUCUCUGAUUCCUUCCGGAUUUGACUUUGGGGCAUGCUUGCACAGCAUAACA
Rhododendron vialii is the source of this 108-nucleotide small nucleolar RNA. RefSeq annotates it as small nucleolar RNA snoR100. Lineage: Eukaryota; Viridiplantae; Streptophyta; Magnoliopsida; Ericales; Ericaceae. The transcript has a single exon. The record is from RefSeq and is a predicted model, not a curated record.